UACGGGGGGGGCAAGCGUUGUUCGGAAUUACUGGGCGUAAAGGGCUCGUAGGCGGCCAACUAAGUCAGACGUGAAAUCCCUCGGCUUAACCGGGGAACUGCGUCUGAUACUGGAUGGCUCGAGUUUGGGAGAGGGAUGCGGAAUUCCAGGUGUAGCGGUGAAAUGCGUAGGUAUCUGGAGGAACACCGGUGGCGAAGGCGGCAUCCUGGACCAACACUGACGCUGAGGAGCGAAAGCCAGGGGAGCAAACGGG
This 253-nucleotide ribosomal RNA is filed under the name uncultured bacterium. Its description in RNAcentral is "partial 16S ribosomal RNA". It matches the Rfam family "Bacterial small subunit ribosomal RNA", at positions 524 to 776 of the family's 1533-position model. The record is from RNAcentral.